Molecule: ribosomal RNA, 497 nt
Filed under: uncultured bacterium
Lineage: Bacteria
Description: partial 16S ribosomal RNA
Rfam family: Bacterial small subunit ribosomal RNA
Source: RNAcentral
GAUGAACGCUGGCGGCGUGCCUAAUACAUGCAAGUCGAGCGAACGGACGAGAAGCUUGCUUCUCUGAUGUUAGCGGCGGACGGGUGGGUAACACGUGGAUAACCUACCUAUAAGACUGGGAUAACUUCGGGAAACCGUAGCUAAUACCGGAUAAUAUUUUGAACUGCAUGGUUCAAAAGUGAAAGACGGUCUUGCUGUCACUUAUAGAUGGAUCCGCGCUGCAUUAGCUAGUUGGUAAGGUAACGGCUUACCAAGGCAACGAUGCAUAGCCGACCUGAGAGGGUGAUCGGCCACACUGGAACUGAGACACGGUACAGACUCCUACGGGAGGCAGCAGUAGGGAAUCUUCCGCAAUGGGCGAAAGCCUGACGGAGCAACGCCGCGUGAGUGAUGAAGGUCUUCGGAUCGUAAAACUCUGUUAUUAGGGAAGAACAUAUGUGUAAGUAACUGUGCACAUCUUGACGGUACCUAAUCAGAAAGCCACGGCUAACUACGUG